GACGAACGCUGGCGGCGUGCUUAACACAUGCAAGUCGAACGGAAAGGCCCUGCUUUUGUGGGGUGCUCGAGUGGCGAACGGGUGAGUAACACGUGAGUAACCUGCCCUUGACUUUGGGAUAACUUCAGGAAACUGGGGCUAAUACCGGAUAGGAGCUCCUGCUGCAUGGUGGGGGUUGGAAAGUUUCGGCGGUUGGGGAUGGACUCGCGGCUUAUCAGCUUGUUGGUGGGGUAGUGGCUUACCAAGGCUUUGACGGGUAGCCGGCCUGAGAGGGUGACCGGCAACAUGGGAACUAGGAUACGGCCCGGACUCCAACGGGAGGAAGAGGGGGGGAAUAUUGCACAAGGGGCGAAGGCCGGAGGCAGCAACGCCGCGGGGGGGAUGACGGCCUUCGGGUUGAAAACCGCUUUCGCCUGUGACGAAGCGUGGGUGACGGUAAUGGUUAAGGAGGCACCGGCUAACUACGG
Molecule: ribosomal RNA, 467 nt
Filed under: uncultured bacterium
Lineage: Bacteria
Description: partial 16S ribosomal RNA
Rfam family: Bacterial small subunit ribosomal RNA
Source: RNAcentral